CAGCCGCCGCGGUAAAACAGAGGAUGCAAGCGUUAUCCGGAAUGAUUGGGCGUAAAGCGUCUGUAGGUGGCUUUUCAAGUCCGCCGUCAAAUCCCCGGGCUCAACCCUGGACAGGCAGUGGAAACUACCAAGCUGGAGUGCGGUAGGGGCAGAGGGAAUUCCCAGUGUAGAGGUGAAAUUCGUAGAUAUUGGGAAGAACACCGGUGGCGAAGGCGGCGACCUGGUCCUUGACUGACGCUGAGGCGCGAAAGCGUGGGGAGCAAACAGGAUUAGAUACCCCCGUAGUCCCUGUCUCUUAUAA
RNAcentral lists this ribosomal RNA (301 nucleotides) under uncultured bacterium. RNAcentral's name for it is "partial 16S ribosomal RNA". It matches the Rfam family "Bacterial small subunit ribosomal RNA", at positions 509 to 809 of the family's 1533-position model. The record is from RNAcentral.